UUUCAAGUUAAAUUGUUGGAACUACGUUUGACCUGAUUCCUGCUUCAACGGGAUACGUAGGCGCCAUAAAGGCUCGGUCAUCUUCCCCGUAAGUUUUCCAAAUUUUAAGAACAGAAACUGGGACAAAAUUUUGUGUAAGUCUCCAAAAAUUUUUAAUGGAGAUAGUUGUUACAAUAUUAAAUACCGGAGGUUUGUCGAAGCUGAAACAUGGGAAAAUUUUUUAAGGAAUGCCCUCAAAAUUUUCACCAAGAUUGUACGCAGACUCCAGUAUUUACGAGGCUUCACUCCGAGUUGGUUUGUUUAUUUUGCAUUAAUUUUUUGUACAUGAUGUCACAUUCAUUGUAUAUCAUUGAUUUUUAUUAUACUCCAUUGAAAAAAUUAGUUUAAUUGACAUUUGUUAAGUUUGGGUAGUCCGUCCUUCAACACGACUCAUUAUUUCAUUAUUUUAUUUUUGUUACUUUUGUUAAAUUUAGGUGGUCCUCCCUUCAAUAUGACUCACUGAUUAAUUCGUCCUUGUAAAAUUUUCUUUAAAUAGUAAAUAAAAAUAUUUUGUUCAAUUCGGGUUGCCCGCCUUUCAAUGUGGCUCAUAGAUUUAUAUUCUCAUUGUUUUUUCUUUUCAAAAAGUAAUUUGUUGUUUAUAAAUUUUAUGUCAUAUUUGGAAGAACUACGCAAACCUGAUUCUCAUCAAUGAGAUACGUAGGCAGCCCUUAUUGGGUUCAGUAUUCAUUCUUCAAAAUAUUUUUUAUUUAUUAUUCUUUGAAUGUUUAUAUUUUUGAAAUUAUUUUUUCACUGGGUUGGUGCCAACACAGUUCAAGUGUGAAUGUGAAAAACAAUUUGUAUAAUAAUGAAGAUUGACUUCUUGUUAAACCAUGGAUUCUUUUGGUACCUCUCAUUCAUACUUUGUUACACUUGCAAAUGUUGUCUUGAAUAAAUUCAAGAAUAGAACAAAAUCAGAUUCAUUGUUUCACGUGCAUUGUGUGGUGAGUUUUGAAUCAAAUUCAAUUAUUUUGCAUUGUUGAUCUAGAACUUGGCCUAAAUGUUAUUGAGGCAAAAUUCUGAGUAAUAUUUGAUUUUAAAAAUGAUUGCAGGCCUUCUUUGAUCCGUUUGAGAAAUUCAAAACCUACCAAAUGAUGUUAAUCCUUAGAUGUCCCCAGUUUGUGCCUAUAGCCUAUUGUUUGGACAACAACAUCUUAACCUAUACCUUUUCUGAGUGCUUUUACGCACUAUCUCUCUUUUGACCAGACUUUCUUGAGCACACUGAAGACAUGCAAAUCAUAAGAGAAGAUACAAAGUUCAAAUUUGUCAAAGACAAAAGUUAUCAAAAUUCCUGAAUUUCAAGAAAACAAAAAUGAAUUCAGAAGAAAAAAAAAGGGUUCAAAAUUCCCACCAAUUUAAGAAAGCAAAAUUUCAAAAACACUUCAAACAAAAAAGGAGAAAAUUCAAAAAGAGGGAAAACUCAGACAAACAAAGUUUCAAAGAAGUCAAAAGUGCAAAAGGAAGGGACAACAAACAUAAUCAAAUGCUAAAAGCAUAAUAAAUGUUGAAAGCAUCUAUUUAGUGCAAUGCUCAAGAAGGAAUAAGUCACUUUAAUCACAAAUGACUAUCCUAUCCGUUCCUAAGCCAACAUUACAAGCUAUUAACAAGCCCUACAUGAUUCCAAUUCAAAUGUUCCACAUUAGCGGAGAUUUACAUGAAGGUCAAGUCUAUGGUAUCACAAUUGCAUGCAUUGAAAUUUUUUUCGAGUGUGAGUGUGUUUUUCCAGAUGUUUUCAAAUCAAAACACUUUAAAUGUGCGCAAAUUGAAAGUUUCUUUCUUGUGAGGGCACUUGAAACAUGAUGUUUGGUCUAGUUCUAAGCUUUUAUUUAUAGCAAGAUGGACAAAUCUUGUUGUUGAUUAAGUACAUUUGAGGUACCACUUGAAUCCAUAGGAAUUACCUCGAUCUCAAUUUCAGUUGAAAGUUAAAAAUUGUGAGAAGUUUUUGUACAAUAGUAUUGUUGGCGCUAACCAAGUUAAAAUAUGUUUCAUUGAUCAUAAAAUAAAAGUGGGUUGAAACCCACUUUACAAUAUUUGUCCAUACCCACUUUGUGAACCGUUUCAUUGUUGAUAUUUGUCCAAACAACUUUGUGGAUCGUUUCAAAGUUUAAAUUGCAUUUUGGUAGUUAUACCCUUCAAAAUGACAUCUUUUAUUUUUCGGUAGUCAUACCCUUCAAAAUGACAUCUUUUAAAUUUGAGUUGUCAUACCUUUCAAAAUGACAUCAUUUUAUUUUUAUGCCCCAUAUUUGUCCAUACCAACUUUGUGGACCGUUUCAUUGUUGAUAUUUAUCCAUACCAACUUUGUGGACUAUAUCAUUGUUGAUAUUUUCCAAACAACUUUGUGGACCGUUUCAAAGUUUAAAUUGCAUUUUUGGUAGUCAUACCCUUCAAAAUGACAUCUUUUUUAUUUUAGGCCGUCAUACCUUCCAAACUGACAUCAUAUUAUAUUUAUGCUUUAUAUUCGUCCAAAUAACUUUGUUGACCAUUUCAAGGUUUAAAUUGCGUUUUUUCGGUAGUUAUACCCUUCAAAAUGACAUCUUCUAAAUUUGGGUCGUCAUACAUUUCAAACUGACAUCAUUUUAAUUUUUGCCCAAUAUUUGUCCAAACAACUUUGUGGACCGUUUUAAAGUUUGAAUUGCAUUUUUGGUAGUCAUACCCUUCAAAAUGACGUUUCUUUAAAUUAUUUUUCGGUAGUCAUACCCUUCAAAAUGACAUCUUUUAAAUUUGGGUCGUCAUACCUUUCAAACUGACAUCAUUUUAAUUUUUCCCAAUAUUUGUCCAAACAACUUUGUGGACCGUUUCAAAGUUUAAAUUGCAUUUUUGGUAGUCAUGCCCUGCAAAUGACAUGUUCAAGUUAGGUCGUCCGUCUUUCAAAGAGACAAGAUUGGGUUGUCAUCUCCCUUCAAAUGGCAUGUUCAAGUUGGGUCGGCCGUCUUUCAAAGAGAUAAGAUUGGGCUGUCAUCUCGCUCGAAAUGACAUAUUAAGUUCAAGUUGGAUCGUCCUCCUUUCAAAGAGACAAGAUUGGGUUGUCAUCUCCCUUCAAAUGACAUGUUUAGUUCAAGUCGGGUCGUCCGUCUUUCAAAGAGACAGGAUUGGGUUGUCAUCUCCCUUCAAAUGACAUGUUCAAGUUGGGUCGUCCGCCUUUCAAAGAGACAAGAUUUGGUUGUCAUCUUUCUUCAAAUGACACGUUAAGUUCAAUAUUGGGUUGUCAUCUCCCUUCAAAUGACACAUUAAGUUCAAGAUUGGGUUGUCAUCUCCCUUCAAAUGGCAUGUUCAAGUUGGGUCGUCCGCCUUUCAAAGAGACAAUAUUGGGUUGUCAUCUCCCUCCAAAUGACAUAUUAAGUUUAAGUUGGGUCGUCCGCCUUUCAAAGAGACAGGAUUGGGUCGUCAUCUCCCUUCAAAUGACAUAUUAAGUUCAAGUCGGGUCGUCAGCCUUUCAAAGAGACAUGAUUGGGUAGUCAUCUCCCUUCAAAUGGCAUAUUAAGUUCAAGUUGGGGCGUCCUCUUUUCAAAGAGACACGAUGGAUUGUCAUCUCCCUUCAAAUGACAUAUUAAGUUCAAGUUGGGUUGUCCGCCUUUCAACGAUACAAGUUGGGUUGUCACCUCAUUUAAAGUGAUAUGUUAUGCUCAAAUUGGGUCGUCCUCCUUUCAAAGAGACGCGUUGGGUUGUCACUUCAUUCAAAGUAACAUGUUAUUCACAUCAUCUAUCUUUCAAAAAGGUAGACCACCUUCAUUGUGCAAUUUUGAAAGUAACAUCAAAGGUAUGUGAAUUUCUCAGUUUGCAAUCAAUCUCCGUCUUUUGUUUGUUAUUUUCAUCCCAAUCGAUCAAUGUGGAGUCUUGCUCAAAAGUUCUACUAACGUCUCAAUUGUUUUGUUCAAUGUUUAUCAAACCAAAUUUGGUUCGUCAACUUUGUUUGACCAGGAUCUCUUUCAUCGAUCCUAAUCAAACAAAGGGGCAAGUUCUUGACACCAAAUUUUGGUCCUAUGGUUUUAAAAUUAAUACAUUUUUGAGUCAAAUACAAAAAAAAAUAUGCCUUUCCCACAUCUUUUCUCAAACAAUUUUAAAUUUUGCAACAGUCCCACAUCGGUAUUUCAUCCUUUUUGAGGAUUUUUGGGUUUCUAUAUAAAUCCACUUCAUUCACUAUUUUUAGAGGAGGAUUUGGAGGUGAAAACAAAAGAAUACUCAUCAAAAUUUUGAGAAAUUCUUGGUUCCCAUAAUUCAAAAAUUUUAAAUUGUUUUUGUGUUUUUUUGAGUUGAGGAGGUGGAGUCGUCUCCUUCAAACUCAUAGUUCCGGUUCGCCGCCCAGAACCAGGUAAAUUUUUUUUCUUAGCCUUGUUUUAUUUAAUUCCCAGCUCUUUUAUGUUUUCUGUUUAUUAUAUGUAGCUUGUUUUUUUUUUAGUUUAAUGUAGUUCUAAAAGUCAAUUAAUAUUUGUGUUUAUUGUAGUUUUAAUAUUAGCAUUAUUUUACGGUUUGAUGUUUAUUUAUUUAUUAUUAUUAUUAUUUUAAAAUUGUUAGUCAACUAUUUGCUAUCUUAACUUUUCAGGGUUUUGUUAUUAUUUUAUUUUAAUGUUAUUUUUAAUUUUUAUAUAUUACGUUAUUGUUAUUUCCAUUUCUAAUUAUGUUGUUUUAUUUUGGUUGUUGUUUUUCAUAUUCUCUUGGGAUAAGUUUGUUAUGUUUUGUUGAUGUUCAGAUUAUAUUAAAUAUUUUUGUUAAGUGCCCAAUCAAAAAACUCUCCGUCAGUUUUGGAGGCCUCCCCAAUAUUAAAAGACAGAAAUUUUUAAUUUAAGUUCAAAUAACUUGUUUGUUUGUAACGACCUGUUUAGUCGUUUUGAGCAGCAAAUUUUAUUUCUGGAAAAACAGGCUAAGGCGACGGACCCCACGACGGACCGCCAUGGGUACGACGGACCAUCGCAGGGUCUGGUUUCAAAACACUUAGAAAAUCUGAAAUUGGGUACUGGAAAUCGACUCUCUGAACUUUGUAACGUAAUGGCAGGACGGACCGUCAUAGGUGUGACGGACCAUCACAGACUCUUCAGAGAAAUUGAGUCUCUGAACUCUGUGACGGAGCAGCAGGACGGACCGUCGCUGGCGCAACGGUCCGUCACAGGCUGCAUAAAUCCCAGUCUGAGUCGGAAUUCCUCAAUUGUUUUAAGGGACGUUUUGGACCAUUCCUACUUUAAUUAUAAAGCUAGAGGGUUAAGGUUAAUAAGUCUAAUUAUUUGGGGGUUAAAAGAGGUAACCUUAAGUUAAUUGGUGGGUUAUUAUUGCCAUCUUUUAUUCUUAAUUAUAUGCUAAUUAGGGUAAAAGAAAGAGGGUUUGAAUAAGAAAAAGAAAAGAACAGAAAGAGAGAGAAGGAGAAUCGAUAGAGAGAGACGAACGAAGAGGAAAAAACAAAAGCUUGGGAAAUUUGCUUGCUUGAUCACGAAUCUUCGGUGGAGGUAGGUUAUGGUUUUAAUACUAUUCGUAGUAAACUCUUAAUAGCGAAUGAUAUGUAUGGGUAGUAUUGUAAACCCUUCUAUAUGCUUAAUUGUAUGCUUGCAUGAAUGUGAUUAUGUAAUUGUGAUAAAAUAAGCAUGAUGAAGCUAUUGAAUCCUAAAUCUUGACAAAGAAACCCUAAUCUAUUUUGUUAAUGAUGAUGCUUUGGUAUAAAGGAAGGCUUGAUGAACGAAAGUAGUGAGAUUAGGGGAUCGGGUGCCACGUUCCGGUACCAGGAUAGUAUAUGAGGAUCGGAGUGUCACGUUCCGACACCAGGAUAGUAUAUGGAUCGGGUGCCACGUUCCGGUACAAGGAUAGUAUAUGAGGAUCGGAGUGUCACGUUCCGACACCAGGAUAGUAUAUGGAUCGGGUGCCGCGUUCCGGUACCAGUAUAGUAUAUGAGGAUCAGAGUGUCACGUUCCGACACCAGGAUAGUAUAUGGAUCGGGUGCCACGUUCCAGUACCAGGAUAGUAUAUGAGGAUCGGAGUGUCACGUUCCGACACCAGGAUAGUAUAUAGAUCGGGUGCCACGUUCCGGUACCAGGAUAGAAUGAGGAUCGGAGUGUCACGUUCCGACAUUAGGAUAGUAUAUAAGGAGCGGGGUGUCACGUACCGACACAAGAGGAAUAAAGAUAAUGAAUCUUGAAAGAUGUUAAUAUACUCAAUCUAAUGAACCUAAUUCCCAAAUGAGUAUGAUGAGGAGGCGUGAGUCCUCAUUGAUGAGCUUGGUGUUAUAACCAAGGGUUAUGGUAAUAGUAAAUGCUGCAUGCUAAGGAUAUUAGUUGAUUUUAUGAUAUUGCUUAAUAUAUAUUGUUUUCUAUUUUGAGUUGGCCGAUGAUACCUACUCAGUACUUGUGUUUGUACUGACCCCCUACUUUUAUGUUUUCUUCUUGUUUAUUUGUGGAGUGCAGCAAACGUACCGUCAUCUUCAACUCAACCGCAAUUCUAGCCAGUCUUCGUCACAUCGGAUCUUCAGGGUGAGCUAAUGCUUCUAGCUUGGACUGGAUCUUCUUCCUCAUGUCUUGAUGCCUUGAAGUUCCGGCAUGGACUAGCUUUUACUUGUUUUAGCUUUUAGAAUACUCUUAGUUUAGAAAUUGAUCAUAGAUGUUCUUGUGAUGAUGACUUCCAGAUUUUGGGGAAUAAUAGAUGUUGAAUUUUAGAAGUUAAUGAAUUGGUUUUAUUUAAUGAGUUUGAGUCUUCCGCAUUAUUUACUGUUGAUAUUAUAUUGAAAUGUUAGAGUUUAGAUUGUUUGGUUCGCUCACAUAGGAGGGUAAGUGUGGGUGCCAGUCACGGUCCGGAUUUGGGUCGUGACAAACUUGGUAUCAAAGCAUUAGGUUCGUUGGUCUCAUCACACAAGAACAAGUCUAGUAGAGUCUUAAGGAACGGUAGGGGGACGCCUUUACUUUUCUUUGAGAGGCUAUAAGACUUUAGGAAAAUUCCUUUCUUUCUUUCUUUCUUUCUUUCGUGCUACUACUUGAAUCCAUUUGGUAUCUAGGUGAUACAAAUUGGUAUCUGACCAUCUUCACUCUCUUUCGCAGAUGGUUAGAACUAGAGCAACGACUACACAAACACCAACACCAGUACCGGCGGGACAGGGUGCGUCUGAGCCAGCCACUGGGCUGUAGCUCGAGGAAGAGCAGCGGCAAGUGGCCGUGGUAGAUGUCGUGUGAGGACGUCCUCUAGGGGAAAAGGUCGAGCACUUAGCCCAUCUGAUACUAGGGCAGUGACUCCUCCACCGACUGAGGAAGUAAUAAGAGAAGGGGAGGAUGGGGAAAAUGAACAAGUGCAGAAUGAGGGAUUGCCAUCCCAGCCUACCCCAGAGAUGAUAAAUCAGGUGCUCGCUUAUCUUAGUGGGUUGUCUGAUCAGGGUCAGGCACCUCCAGUGUUUUCUGCACCAACACCUCCGGUUUCAGAGGUACAACAUGCAGCCACUAUGGCUCCUCGUAUGGAUGCCUCAUUGGACAUAGGCACGUUUCCACGUCUUACUACUGGGCCUAUAAUGACAAAUGAUCAGCAUGAACUUUUCAGUAAGUUCUUGAAAUUGAAACCUCCAGUCUUCAAGGGUGCUGAAUCUGAGGAUGCUUACGAUUUUCUGGUUGACUGUCAUGAGCUACUACACAAGAUGGGUAUAGUAGAACGGUUUGGUGUUGAGUUCGUGACUUAUCAGUUCCAAGGAAACGCCAAAAUGUGGUGGCGGUCACAUGUUGAGUGUCAACCAACAGAGGCGCCACCUAUGACUUGGGCAUCAUUCUCUAGCUUGUUUAUGGAGAAGUAUAUUCCCCGGACUUUCAGGGAUAGGAAGAGAGACGAGUUCUUGAGCCUAGAGCAAGGUAGGAUGUUGGUUACUGCAUAUGAGGCUAAGUUUCGUGCAUUAUCCCGGUAUGCCACCUAACUGUGUUUCAGUCCACAAGAGCGGAUUCGCCGUUUUGUGAAAGGGUUGAGAUCGGAGUUGCGGAUUUCAGCCUUACAGGUAGCGGCUACAGCGAAAUCUUUCCAAGAAGUGGUAGACUUUGUGGUAGAGGUGGAAGGAGUGAAGCCAUAUGACUUCACCAUGGAAACUACAUCAAAAAGGUUUCGAAAGGGAGGUGAGUUUAAUGGUUCUUACUCUAGAGGACAGGGUUCAGGAGGUUACUCAGUCCGACCAAUUCAGUCUUCACUACAGACUGUAGUUGGGGGUCCACCUCAGACCGGUCAACACUUCUUUGAGAGACCUAUGCUUGAACCCAGAGAGUGUUAUGGAUGUGGGGAGAUCGAACACAUUAAGAGGUAUUGUCCAAAACAGAGUUACUGACCUCCAAAUGUUAGAGGUAGAGGUGGUUAUGGAAGAGGUCGUCAUUCUGGAGGACGCGGUGGUCGAAGUAAUGGUGGUCACCAAAACGGUCGGGGUGAUGGGCAAACAGGAGCCACUACAUCACAACAUGGUAAGGGCAACGGACAAACAAAUGAAAGGGCCCAUUGUAACGCUUUCCCUGGGCGGUCAGAAACGGAGACAUCAGAUGCUGUCAUCACAGGUAAUCUUACGGUUUGUGAUUUCAUGGCUUCUGUAUUGUUUGAUCCUGGAUCCACAUUUUCUUAUGUAUCUUCUUCAUUUGCUAAUGGUCUAAAUUUACCUUGUGAAUUACUUGACAUACCUAUUCGUGUUUCUACUCCGGUGGGUGAGUCUGUGAUAGUUGAAAAAGUAUAUAGGUCUUGUUUGGUGAAUUUUGUGGGGAGCAACACUUAUGUAGAUUUGGUUAUCUUAGAAAUGGUUGACUUUGAUGUAAUUCUGGGUAUGACUUGGCUUUUUCCAAAUUUUGCGAUCUUGGAUUGUAAUGCUAAAACGGUGACGUUAGCCAAGCCUGGGACAGAUCCGUUAGUUUGGGAGGGUGACUACACUUCCAAUUCGGUGCGUAUCAUCUCCUUUCUUCGUGCUAAGAAAAUGGUUAGUAAAGGGUGUUUAGCUUUCUUGGCACAUCUCAAGGAUGACACAACCCAAGUACCUUCGAUUGAGUCGGUUUCGGUGGUCCGUGAGUUUCUGGAUGUGUUCCCUGCAAAUCUUCCUGGUAUGCCACCAGAUAGGGAUAUUGACUUCUGUAUUGAUCUUGAACCGGGUACUCGCCCCAUUUCUAUACCCCCUUAUAGAAUGGCCCCCGCGGAGUUAAGAGAGUUAAAAGCCCAACUUCAAGAGUUGUUGAGAAAAGGCUUCAUUAGACCAAGUGCAUCUCCUUGGGGUGCUCCGGUGUUGUUUGUGAAGAAAAAGGAUGGGAGUUUUCGGAUGCGCAUAGACUACCGGCAGUUGAACAAGGUAACCAUAAAGAACAAGUAUCCUCUUCCUCGCAUUGAUGACUUGUUCGAUCAGUUACAAGGUGCUUGUGUCUUCUCUAAGAUUGACUUGAGAUCCGGUUAUCAUCAAUUGAAAAUACGGGCAACGGAUGUGCCAAAGACUGCUUUUAGAACCAGGUAUGGGCAUUACGAAUUUGUAGUGAUGUCUUUUGGUCUUACGAAUGCCCCUGCUGCUUUCAUGAGCUUGAUGAACGGGAUUUUAAGCCAUAUCUGGAUCUCUUUGUGAUCAUAUUCAUUGAUGAUAUAUUGGUAUACUCAAAGAGCAAGAAGGAACAUGAAGAGCAUUUGAGAAGGGUAUUGGAAAUGUUGAGGGAGAAAAAGCUUUAUGCCAAAUUCUCCAAGUGUGAGUUUUGGCUAGAUGCAGUGUCCUUCUUGGGGCAUGUGAUUUCUAAGGAUGUGGUGAUGGUUGAUCCUUUUAAGAUUGAGACAGUGAAGAAUUGGGUAAGACCUACUAAUGUGUCAGAAAUAAGGAGCUUUGUUGGGUUAGCUAGCUACUACCGCCGAUUUGUCAAGGGAUUCUCUUCUAUUGCUUCGCAACUGACGAACUUGACUAAGCAAAAUGUCCCAUUCGUAUGGUCGGAUGAGUGUGUGAGGAAAGCUUUCGCUCAAGACUCUGUUGACUACUGCACCAAUUCUCACCUUGCCAGUGGAAGGUAAGAAUUUUUGUCUAUUAUGAUGCAUCCUAUUCGGGUUUGGGUGCAGUGCUAAUGCAAGAGAAGAAUGUGAUUGCUUAUGCUUCAAGACAAUUAAAAGUGCAUGAACGUAACUAUCCAACUUAUGAUUUGGAAUUGGACGCGGUAGUGUUUGCAUUAAAGCAAUGGAGACACUAUUUAUAUGGGGUUAAGUGUGAGGUCUAUACGGAUCAUCGUAGCCUACAGUAUGUCUUUACUCAGAAAGAUUUGAACUUGAGACAGAGGAGAUGGAUGGAACUACUGAAGGACUACGACAUCACUAUUUUGUAUCAUCCGAGGAAGGCGAAUGUUGUAGCGGAUGCUUUAAGUAGAAAGGCAGGAAGCAUGGGAAGUCUAGCUCACUUGCAAGCUUCUAGACGCCCAUUGGCUAGAGAAGUUCAGAUUCUGGCUAACAACCUUAUGAGAUUAGAAGUAAAUGAGAAGGGAGGAUUUUUAGCUUGUGUGGAGGCAAGAUCUUCCUUCUUGACAAGAUUAAGGGAAAGCAGUUUAAUGAUGAAAAAUUGAUCCGGAUUCGAGAUAAAGUGUUGCAAGGAGAGGCUAAAGAAGCGACGAUCGAUGAGGAAGGCGUUUUGAGGAUUAAGGGAAGGGUGUGUGUACCCCGUGUCGAUGAUUUGAUCAACACCAUUCUUACAGAGGCUCAUAGUUCCGGGUAUUCUAUACAUCCUGGUGCAACCAAGAUGUACCAUGACCUAAAGCAACACUUUUGGUGGAGUAGGAUGAAGCGUGAUAUUGUGGAUUUUAUUGCCAAAUGUCCAAACUGUCAACAAGUAAAGUAUGAACACCAAAGGCCCGAAGGAACACUUCAGAGAAUGCCCAUUCCGGAAUGGAAAUGGGAGAGAAUCUCAAUGGACUUCGUGGUUGGUCUUCCAAAGACAAUGGGUAAGUAUGACUCCAUUUGGGUGAUUGUUGAUAGGUUAACUAAGUCUGCUCAUUUUAUUCCGGUUAAGGUGACUUACAAUGCCGAGAAGUUAGCCAAGAUCUAUAUCUCAGAAAUCGUUCGAUUGCAUGGGGUUUCACUAUCCAUCAUAUCAGAUAGAGGUACGCAGUUUACUUCUAAGUUUUGGAAAACCUUGCAUGCGGAAUUGGGUACUAGGUUGGACCUUAGUACUGCGUUCCAUCCUCAGACCGAUGGUCAGUCUGAGCGAACGAUUCAAGUGUUGGAGGAUAUGCUUCGUGCGUGUGUGAUAGAAUUUGGUGGCCAUUGGGAUAACUUCUUACCCUUAGCGGAGUUUUCAUGCAAUAAUAGCUAUCACUCAAGCAUUGAUAUGGCUCCAUUUGAAGCAUUGUAUGGUAGGAGAUGUAGGUCCCCCAUUGGUUGGUUUGAUGCAUUCGAGGUUAGACCUUGGGGUACUGAUCUUUUGAGAGAUUCGAUAGAGAAAGUGAAAUCUAUUCAAGAAAAGCUUCUAGCGGCGCAAAGUAGGCAAAAAGAAUAUGCAGAUCGAAAGGUUAGAGACUUAGAGUUCAUGGAGAGUGAACAAGUCUUGUUGAAAGUUUCGCCAAUGAAAGGGGUGAUGCGGUUUGGUAAAAGAGGCAAGCUAAGCCCAAGGUACAUUGGUCCCUUUGAAGUACUUAAGCGAGUAGGGGAGGUGGCUUAUGAGUUAGCCUUGCCUCCAGGGCUGUCCGGAGUACAUCCGGUAUUCCAUGUGUCGAUGUUGAAAAGAUACCACGGGGAUGAAAACUACAUCAUCCGUUGGGAUUCCGUUUUGCUUGAUGAAAAUUUGUCUUAUGAGGAGGAACCUAUUGCCAUUCUAGAUAGAGAAAUUCGCAAGUUGAGAUCAAGGGAGAUUGCAUCCAUCAAAGUUCAAUGGAAGAAUCGACCAGUUGAAGAAGCCACUUGGGAGAAAGAGGCAGAUAUGCGAGAAAGAUACCCACAUCUGUUUACAGAUUCAGGUACUCCUUUUCGCCCUUGUUUUCCUUCUUGUGAUCGUUCGGGGACGAAUCAUGGGUAAAUUGGUAUCUAUUGUAACGACCUGUUUAGUCGUUUUGAGCAGCAGAUUUUAUUUCUGGAAAAACAGGCUGAGGCAACGGACCCCACGACGGACCGCCAUGGGCACGACGGACCGGUGCAGGGUCUCGUUUCAAAACACUUAGAAAAUCUGAAAUUAGGUACUGAAAAUCGACUCUCUGAAAUUCUUAAUGGAAUGGCAUGACGGACCGUCACAGACUCUUCAGAGAAAUUGAGUCUCUAAACUCUGUGACGGAGCAGCAGGACGGACCGUCGCAGGCGCGACGGGCCGUCAUAGGCUGCGUAAAUCCCAGUCUGAGUCGGAAUUCCUCAAUUGUUUUAAGGGACGUUUUGGACCAUUCCUACUUUAAUUAUAAAGCUAGAGGGUUAAGGUUAAUAAGUCUAAUUACUUGGGGGUUAAAAGAGGUAACCUUAAGUUAAUUAGUGGGUUAUUAUUGUCAUCUUUUAUUCUUAAUUAUAUGCUAAUUAGGGUAAAAGAAAGAGGGUUUGAAUAAGAAAAAGAAAAGAACAGAAAGAAAGAGAAGGAGAAUCGAUAGAGAGAGACGAACGAAGAGGAAAAAACAAAAGCUUGGGAAAUUUGCUUGCUUGAUCACGAAUCUUCGGUGGAGGUAGGUUAUGAUUUUUAUACUAUUCGUAGUAAACUCUUAAUAGCGAAUGAUAUGUAUGGGUAGUAUUGUAAACCCUUCUAUAUGCUUAAUUGUAUGCUUGCAUGAAUGUGAUUAUGUAAUUGUGAUAAAAUAAGCAUGAUGAAGCUAUUGAAUCCUAAAUCUUGAAAAAGAAACCCUAAUCUACUUUGUUAAUGAUGAUGCCUUGGUAUAAAGGAAGGCUUGAUGAACGAAAGUAGUGAGAUUAGGGGAUCGGGUGCCACGUUCCGGUACCAGGAUAGUAUAUGAGGAUCGGAGUGUCACGUUCCGACACCAGGAUAGUAUAUGGAUCGGGUGCCACGUUCCGGUACCAGGAUAGUAUAUGAGGAUCGGAGUGUCACGUUCCGACACCAGGAUAGUAUAUGGAUCGGGUGCCACGUUCCGGUACCAGUAUAGUAUAUGAGGAUCAGAGUGUCACGUUCCGACACCAGGAUAGUAUAUGGAUCGGGUGCUACGUUCCGGUACCAGGAUAGUAUAUGAGGAUCGGAGUGUCACGUUCCGACACCAGGAUAGUAUAUGGAUCGGGUGCCACGUUCCGGUACCAGGAUAGAAUGAGGAUCGGAGUGUCACGUUCCGACACCAGGAUAGUAUAUAAGGAGCAGGGUGUCACGUACCGACACAAGAGGAAUAAAGAUAAUGAAUCUUGAAAGAUGUUAAUAUACUCAAUCUAAUGAACCUAAUUCCCAAAUGAGUAUGAUGAAGAGGCGUGAGUCCUCAUUGAUGAGCUUGGUGUUGUAACCAAGGGUUAUGGUAAUUGUAAAUGCUGCAUGCUAAGGAUAUUAGUUGAUUUUAUGAUAUUGCUUAAUAUAUAUUGUUUUCUAUUUUGAGUUGGCCGAUGAUACCUACUCAGUACUUGUGUUUGUACUGACCCCCUACUUUUAUGUUUUCUUCUUGUUUAUUUGUGGAGUGCAGCAAACGUACCGUCAUCUUCAACUCAACCGCAAUUCUAGCCAGUCUUCGUCACAUCGGAUCUUCAGGGUGAGCUAAUGCUUCUAGCUUGGACUGGAUCUUCUUCCUCAUGUCUUGAUGCCUUGAAGUUCCGGCAUGGACUAGCUUUUACUUGUUUUAGCUUUUAGAAUACUCUUAGUUUAGAAAUUGAUCAUAGAUGUUCUUGUGAUGAUGACUUCCAGAUUUUGGGGAAUAAUAGAUGUUGAAUUUUAGAAGUUAAUGAAUUGGUUUUAUUUAAUGAGUUUGAGUCUUCCGCAUUAUUUACUGUUGAUAUUAUAUUGAAAUGUUAGAGUUUAGAUUGGUUGGUUCGCUCACAUAGGAGGGUAAGUGUGGGUGCCAGUCACGGUCCGGAUUUGGGUCGUGACAUUGUUAAAUUGUUAAAAGGGACGAUGAAGAAAUUACCGUCGAUUUCCAAGGCCUCCCAUGUUAGUGAGACAGAUUUUUAUUUUUUAAAUUAUUAUUUCAUAUAUUCAAUUUUUUUCAUUUUUAUUUAUUACUAACACUUUUACUAAGUGUGUUUACAGGUACCCAAGACUUGUUUCAUUGAAGUUAUUCGAGAGGAGUUCAAUUUAUAUUUUACAAUUCAUUAUUUUGUAUAUAUCGAUGCUAGGCAAACUUUAGGCCGUUUCUCAUGUUGUUGUUUUAUUUUAUUAUUAUUGUUUAUUUUAUAUAAUAUUAAUGGUAUAUUAUUGUUAUCGCCUCAAUUUGAAAAAAUGAACUCAGUCGGGAACCACAGUUGUGGAUUUCGAAGGGUUUCUAAUCCCUUCCCUUCGGAAUAACUUGAACCCCUUAUCUAGAAUCAAAUUGGUUUCGUGGACUCUCUUUUAAGUUAAUUAAUUAAUCGGUUUCCUAGUUUUCCUAAAAAUUAGGUGGCGACUCCCUUCUCCCCCUUUAACUCCCAUUAAUCCUUUUAAACUCAUUUUACCACUUUUGACCCCUUUACCCUUUUUUAGAAAUUAUUUUAACUAAUUCUUUUUUUAUUGAGUCUCCACAAUGUUGCUUCCAUUAAAAGGAUGUCAACAGAAUGACGACUCCGCUGGGAAUAUUAGAGGUUCUAACCAUUCUGGGUUCAUUUUUUCAAAUUGUUGAUACUAUUCUUUAUUGUGCUAUUCAUUAUAUCUUUUAUAUUUUGUUAAUUAUUUGCAUGUCGUACUAUUUAUUUAUUCAUUAUUUAUUGUAUAUUGCCAUUGUAUUUCAUGACAUAAUUUCUGCCAAAUGGCAAAUAGAAUGCAUUAGAAUAAAGGCGGUUACGUGGCUUUCCACGACUGUCCUUUAGAAAAACACCUUCGAAAUUCAUUGGAAGUGAUAAACAAAUAGUUGGCUUGCGGUCAUCUAACGUUGUUAUUAUACUUCAUCCCCUAUUUUGUCCAACUCGGGUAAACAAGUCUCUUUUUAAGCCCACUCUUAGUCAGCUAGUGUAGAGCGAAAUCAAAAUAUCGUAUUAAGCAUGACACUCGAGACAUAUUUGUAUAACACAUGCACUCAUUGUUUGUAUAUUAUAUGAUUUAUCGUGAUAUAUGGUAGUCCAUUAUUUCAAAGUUACUCUUGCUAACAUAGUUUUAGAAUACUUAUAAUUUAAGUUCAAUCUUUUUUAAAGUUAAAUCGUUGAAACUAUGUUUGACCUGAUUCCUAAUUCAACGCGAUACGUAGGCGCCAUUAAGGCUCGGUCAUCUUCCCCGUAAGUUUUCCAAAUUUUAAGAACGGAAACUAGCGCAAAAUUUUGUGGAAGUCUCCAAAAUUUUAUAAUGGAGAUAGUUGUUACAAUAUUAAAUACCGGAGGUUUGUCGAAGCAGAAAUAGGGGCAAAAUUUUUUAGGAAUGCUCUCAAAAUUUUCACCAAGAUUGUACACAUACACCAGUAUUUAUGAGGCUUCACUCCGAGUUGGUUUGUUUAUUUUGCAUUAAUUUUUUGUACAUGAUGUCACAUUCAUUGUAUAUCUUUGAUUUUUACUAUACUCCAUUGAAAAAGUUAGUUUAAUUGACAUUUGUUAAGUUUGGGUAGUCCGUCCUUCAACGCGACUCAUUAUUUCAUUAUUUUAUUGUUGUUACUUUUGUUAAAUUUAGGUGGUCUUCCCUUCAAUGUGACUCACUGAUUCAUUCGUCCUUGUAAAAUUUUCUUUAAAUAGUAAAUAAAAAAAAUUGUUCAAUUCGGGUUGCCCGCCUUUCAAUGUGGCUCAUUGAUUUUUAUUCUCAUUAUUUUUUCCUUUCAAAAAGUAAUUUGUUGUUUAUAAAUUUUAUGUCAUAUUUGGAAGAACUACGCAAACCUGAUUCUCAUCAAUGAGAUACGUAGGCAGCCUUUAUUGGGUUCGGUAUUAUUUCUUCAAAAGAUUUUUUACUUUUUAUUCUUUGAAUAUUUAUAUUUUGCGAAAUUAUUUUUUCACUGGGUUGGUGCCAACACAGUUCAAGUGUGCAUGUGAAAAAUAAUUUGUAUAAUAAUGAAGAUUGACUUCUUGUUAAACCAUGGAUUCUUUUGGUACCUCUCAUUUAUACUUUGUUACACUUGCAAAUGUUGUCUUGUAUAAAUUCAAGAUUAGAACAAAAUCAGAUUCAUUAUUUCAUGUGCAUUGUAUGGUGAGUUUUGAAUCAAAUUCAAUUAUUUUUCAUUGUUGAUCUAGAACUUGGCCUAAAUGUUAUUGAGGCGAAAUUCUGAGUAAUGUCUGAUUUGAAAAAUGAUUGCAGGCCUUCUUUGAUCCGUUUGAGCCUUUCGAAACCUACCAAAUGAUGUUAAUCCUUAGAUGUCCCCAGUUUAAGCUUAUAGCCUUUUCUUUGGACAACCACAUCUUAACAUAUACCUUUUCUGAGUGCUUUUACGCACUAUCUCUCUUUUGAACAGACUUUCUUGAGCACACUGAAGACAUGCAAGUCAUAAGAGAAGAUACAAAGUUCAAAUUUGUCAAAGACAAAAGUUAUCAAAGUUCCUGAAUGUCCAGAAAACAAAAAUGACUUUAGAAGAAAAAAAAUGGUUCAAAAUUCCCACCAAUUUAAUAAAGCGAAAUUUCAAAAACACUCCAAACAAAAAAGGAGAAAAUUCAAAAAGAGGGAAAACUCAGACAAACAGAGUUUCAAAGAAGUCAAAAGUGCAAAAGGAAGGGACAACAAAGAGAAUCAAACGCUAAAAGCAUAAUAAAUGUUGAAAGCAUCUAUUUAGUGCAAUGCUCAAGAAGGAAUAAGUCACUUUAAUCCCAAAUGACUAUCCUAUCCGUUCCUAAGCCAACAUUACAAGCUAUUAACAAGCCCUACAUGAUUCCAAUUCAAAUGUUCCACAUUAGCGGAGACUUACAUGAAGGUCAAGCCUAUGGUAUCACAAUUGCAUGCGUUGAAAUAUUUUUCGAGUGUGAGUGUGCUUUUCCAGAUGUUUUCAAAUAAAAACACUUUAAAUGUGCGCAAAUUGAAAGUUUCUUUCUUGUGAAGGCACUUGAAACAUGAUGUUAGGUCUAGUUCUAAGCUUUUAUUUAUAGCAAGAGACAAAUCUUGUUGUUGCUUAAAUACAUUUGAGGUGCCACUUGAAUCCAUAGGAAUUACCUCGAUGUCAAUUUUAGUUGAAAGAGAAAAAUUGUGAGAAAUUUUUGUACAAUACUAUUGUUGGCGCUAACAAAGUUAAAAUAUGUUUCAUUGUUCAUAAAAUAAAAGUGGGUUGAAACCCACUUUACAAUAUUUGUCCAUACCAACUUUGUGAACCGUUUCAUUAUUGAUAUUUGUCCAAACAACUUUGUGGACCGUUUCAAAGUUUAAAUUGCAUUUUGGUAGUUAUACCCUUCAAAAUGACAUCUUUUAUUUUUCGGUAGUCAUACCCUUCAAAAUGACAUCUUUUAAAUUUGGGUUGCCAUACCUUUCAAAAUGACAUCAUUUUAUUUUUAUGCCCCAUAUUUGUCCAUACCAACUUUGUAGACCGUUUCAUUGUUGAUAUUUGUCCAUACCUUUCAAAAUGACAUCAUUUUGUUUAUUAUACUUCAUCUCGUAGUUUGUCCAACUCGGGUAAACAAGUCUCGUUUUAAGCCCACUCUUAGUCAGCUAGUGUAGAGCGAAAUCGAAACAUCAUAUUAAGCAUGACACUCGAGACAUAUUUGUAUAACACAUGCACUCAUUGUGUGCAUAUUAUAUGAUAUAUCGUGAUGUAUGAUAGUCCAUUAUUUCAAAGUUACUCUUGCUAACCUAGUUUUAGAAUACUUCUAAUUUAAAUUCAAUCUUUUUUCUAGUUAAAUCGUUGGAACUACGUUUGACCUGAUUCCUGCUUCAACGGGAUACGUAGGCGCCAUUAAGGCUCGGUCAUCUUCCCCGUAAAUUUUCCAAAUUUUAAGAACAGAAACUGGGGCAAAAUUUUGUGGAAGUCUCCAAAAUUUUAUAAUGGAGAUAGUUGUUACAAUAUUAAAUACCGGAGGUUUGUCGAAGCUGAAACAUGGGCAAAAAUUUUUAGGAAUGCCCUCACAAUUUUCACCAAGAUUGUACGCAGACUCCAGUAUU
Molecule: long non-coding RNA, 18040 nt
Filed under: Solanum lycopersicum (tomato)
Lineage: Eukaryota; Viridiplantae; Streptophyta; Magnoliopsida; Solanales; Solanaceae
Description: long non-coding RNA (SLYC_LNC001122)
Source: RNAcentral